This 319-nucleotide ribosomal RNA is filed under the name uncultured Bacteroidales bacterium. Its description in RNAcentral is "partial 16S ribosomal RNA". Lineage: Bacteria; Pseudomonadati; Bacteroidota; Bacteroidia; Bacteroidales. The record is from RNAcentral.
GGAGUAUGGACCGUGUCUCAGUUCCAUUGUGGGGGACCUUCCUCUCAGAACCCCUACCCAUCGUCGGUUUGGUGGGCCGUUACCCCGCCAACUGCCUAAUGGGACGCGAGCCAAUCCGUGGCCGCCGAAGCUUUCAAACAAAGUCCAUGCGAACUCUGUUGUUACGGGGUCUUAGACGACGUUUCCAUCGCUUAUCCCCCUGCCACGGGCAUGUUGCUCACGCGUUACGCACCCUUCCGCCGGUCGCCAUCAACAAGAGCAAGCUCUCGUCAUGCUGCCCCUCGACUUGCAUGUGUUAAGCCUGUAGCUAGCGUUCAUC